This 497-nucleotide ribosomal RNA is filed under the name uncultured bacterium. Its description in RNAcentral is "partial 16S ribosomal RNA". It matches the Rfam family "Bacterial small subunit ribosomal RNA", at positions 28 to 507 of the family's 1533-position model. The record is from RNAcentral.
GAUGAACGCUGGCGGCGUGCCUAAUACAUGCAAGUCGAGCGAACAGACGAGGAGCUUGCUCCUCUGACGUUAGCGGCGGACGGGUGAGUAACACGUGGAUAACCUACUUAUAAGACUGGGAUAACUUCGGGAAACCGGAGAUAAUACUGGAUAAUAUAUUGAACCGCAUGGUUCAAUAGUGAAAGACGGUUUUGCUGUCACUUAUAGAUGGAUCCGCGCCGCAUUAGCUAGUUGGUAAGGUAACGGCUUACCAAGGCAACGAUGCGUAGCCGACCUGAGAGGGUGAUCGGCCACACUGGAACUGAGACACGGUCCAGACUCCUACGGGAGGCAGCAGUAGGGAAUCUUCCGCAAUGGGCGAAAGCCUGACGGAGCAACGCCGCGUGAGUGAUGAAGGUCUUCGGAUCGUAAAACUCUGUUAUUAGGGAAGAACAAAUGUGGAAGUAACUAUGCACGUCUUGACGGUACCUAAUCAGAAAGCCACGGCUAACUACGUG